GAUGAACGCUGGCGGCGUGCCUAAUACAUGCAAGUCGAGCGAACGGACGAGAAGCUUGCUUCUCUGAUGUUAGCGGCGGACGGGUGAGUAACACGUGGAUAACCUACCUAUAAGACUGGGAUAACUUCGGGAAACCGGAGCUAAUACCGGAUAAUAGUUUGAACCGCAUGGUUCAAAAGUGAAAGACGGUCUUGCUGUCACUUAUAGAUGGAUCCGCGCUGCAUUAGCUAGUUGGUAAGGUAACGGCUUACCAAGGCAACGAUGCAUAGCCGACCUGAGAGGGUGAUCGGCCACACUGGAACUGAGACACGGUCCAGACUCCUACGGGAGGCAGCAGUAGGGAAUCUUCCGCAAUGGGCGAAAGCCUGACGGAGCAACGCCGCGUGAGUGAUGAAGGUCUUCGGAUCGUAAAACUCUGUUAUUAGGGAAGAACAUAUGUAUAAGUAACUGUGCACAUCUUGACGGUACCUAAUCAGAAAGCCACGGCUAACUACGUG
RNAcentral lists this ribosomal RNA (497 nucleotides) under uncultured bacterium. Its description in RNAcentral is "partial 16S ribosomal RNA". It matches the Rfam family "Bacterial small subunit ribosomal RNA", at positions 28 to 507 of the family's 1533-position model. The record is from RNAcentral.